UAGCAAUAGGUUGAUGGCGACCGGCGCACGUGUGAGUAACACGUAUCCAACCUACCGGUUAUUCCGGGAUAGCCUUUCGAAAGAAAGACUAAUACCGGAUAGUAUAACGAGAAGGCAUCUUCUUGUUAUUAAAGAAUUUCGAUAACCGAUGGGGAUGCGUUCCAUUAGUUUGUUGGCGGGGUAACGGCCCACCAAGACAUCGAUGGAUAGGGGUUCUGAGAGGAAGGUCCCCCACAUUGGAACUGAGACACGGUCCAAACUCCUACGGGAGGCAGCAGUGAGGAAUAUUGGUCAAUGGACGAGAGUCUGAACCAGCCAAGUAGCGUGAAGGAUGACUGCCCUAUGGGUUGUAAACUUCUUUUAUAUGGGAAUAAAGUGAGCCACGUGUGGCUUUUUGUAUGUACCAUACGAAUAAGGAUCGGCUAACUCCGUGCCAGCAGCCGCGGUAAUACGGAGGAUCCGAGCGUUAUCCGGAUUUAUUGGGUUUAAAGGGAGCGUAGGCGGACUAUUAAGUCAGCUGUGAAAGUUUGCGGCUCAACCGUAAAAUUGCAGUUGACACUGGUCGUCUUGAGUGCAGUAGAGGUAGGCGGAAUUCGUGGUGUAGCGGUGAAAUGCUUAGAUAUCACGAAGAACUCCGAUUGCGAAGGCAGCUUACUGGACUGUAACUGACGCUGAUGCUCGAAAGUGUGGGUAUCAAACAGGAUUAGAUACCCUGGUAGUCCACACAGUAAACGAUGAAUACUCGCUGUUUGCGAUAUACAGCAAGCGGCCAAACGAAAGCAUUAAG
Molecule: ribosomal RNA, 787 nt
Filed under: uncultured bacterium
Lineage: Bacteria
Description: bacterial SSU rRNA
Rfam family: Bacterial small subunit ribosomal RNA
Source: RNAcentral